Molecule: ribosomal RNA, 460 nt
Filed under: uncultured bacterium
Lineage: Bacteria
Description: partial 16S ribosomal RNA
Rfam family: Bacterial small subunit ribosomal RNA
Source: RNAcentral
CCUACGGGAGGCAGCAGUGAGGAAUAUUGGUCAAUGGACGAGAGUCUGAACCAGCCAAGUAGCGUGAAGGAUGACUGCCCUAUGGGUUGUAAACCUCUUUUAUAUGGGAAUAAAAUGUUCCACGUGUGGGAUUUUGUAUGUACCAUAUGAAUAAGGAUCGGCUAACUCCGUGCCAGCAGCCGCGGUAAUACGGAGGAUCCGAGCGUUAUCCGGAUUUAUUGGGUUUAAAGGGAGCGUAGGUGGAUUGUUAAGUCAGUUGUGAAAGUUUGCGGCUCAACCGUAAAAUUGCAGUUGAAACUGGCAGUCUUGAGUACAGUAGAGGUGGGCGGAAUUCGUGGUGUAGCGGUGAAAUGCUUAGAUAUCACGAAGAACUCCGAUUGCGAAGGCAGUUCACUGGACUGCAACUGACACUGAGGCUCGAAAGUGUGGGUAUCAAACAGGAGUAGAUACCCCAGUAGUC